UUGGGAAUAUUGGACAAUGGGCGCAAGCCUGAUCCAGCAAUGCCGCGUGAGGGAUGAAGGCUCUCGGGUCGUAAACCUCUUUCAGCAGGGAAAAAGGGAAACUUGAUGGUACCUGCAGAAGAAGCACCGGCUAACUACGUGCCAGCAGCCGCGGUAAUACGUAGGGUGCAAGCGUUGUUCGAAAUCACUGGGCGUAAAGCGCGUGUAGGCGGUUUGUUAAGUCUAAUGUGAAAGCCCGGAGCUUAACUCCGGAAGUGCAUCGGAUACUGGCAAACUAGAGGACAGAAGAGGGAAGUGGAAUUCCUGGUGUAGGGGUGAAAUCCGUAGAUAUCAGGAGGAACAUCAGUGGCGAAGGCGGCUUCCUGGUCUGUUUCUGACGCUCAGACGCGAAAGCAUGGGGAGCAAACAGG
RNAcentral lists this ribosomal RNA (410 nucleotides) under uncultured Syntrophaceae bacterium. RNAcentral's name for it is "bacterial SSU rRNA". It matches the Rfam family "Bacterial small subunit ribosomal RNA", at positions 355 to 776 of the family's 1533-position model. The record is from RNAcentral. Lineage: Bacteria; Pseudomonadati; Thermodesulfobacteriota; Syntrophia; Syntrophales; Syntrophaceae.